GUCCCACUAGCUCAGCAGGAUAGAGCAACGGCCUUCUAAGCCGUCGGUCGGGAGUUCGAAUCUCUCCUGGGACGCCA
This 77-nucleotide transfer RNA is filed under the name Bacillus infantis. RNAcentral's name for it is "tRNA-Arg". It matches the Rfam family "tRNA". Rfam says of the family: Transfer RNA (tRNA) molecules are approximately 80 nucleotides in length. Their secondary structure includes four short double-helical elements and three loops (D, anti-codon, and T loops). Lineage: Bacteria; Bacillati; Bacillota; Bacilli; Caryophanales; Bacillaceae. The record is from RNAcentral.